GGAAUGAUUGGGGAGGCGGCUCACAAGCUCGGGAGUCAGUUUACCAGCGAGCAAGAAAGCGUCUUGGUGUUGCUGUCCUGGAUGAUUCUGAUCAUGAGAUGCCUGACAGCACAGAGGGUGCUUUGCCUGCAGUGACAAACGAUCACGACUAUGCCUGCCGUCCUUCUCCUGGUAAACUGGACAGUGCUACUCAAAGAAUUCGAGAGUUGGAGCUGCAAGUGUUGUCCCUAGAAAUUGAGAUCCAGCACCUGACAGUUAAGAAGCAGCAUCCACUCCUUUUUAAUUUUUGUGUCACAGAUGA
This is a long non-coding RNA of Coregonus clupeaformis (lake whitefish), 301 nucleotides long. RefSeq lists it as uncharacterized. NCBI's taxonomy places the organism in Eukaryota, Metazoa, Chordata, Actinopteri, Salmoniformes, Salmonidae. The transcript is spliced from 3 exons. The record is from RefSeq and is a predicted model, not a curated record.